This is a long non-coding RNA of Gallus gallus (chicken), 825 nucleotides long. Lineage: Eukaryota; Metazoa; Chordata; Aves; Galliformes; Phasianidae. The record is from Ensembl.
AUCACCCCCAGUAAAGAUGGAGAGAAUAAGGGUGGGAGGAUUGGGAGAACAGCUGUGUGCUAUAGCACAUUGACCUUGAAGGUCAGUAUCAGGUUAACAAGGCCUUUAGAUUCACAUUUCUGGCCCUUUCCAUGUGAAGGGCACAUCUGAAGCUGGCUGCAGUCACUGGAAGCAGGAGUGGAAAAAUGUCACUCACAUCGCAGAGAUGGAGAAGCAACAGAAUUCCUGAGUCUGGGGAGGAGAGCUACAAACCGGAUAGACUUUGCUGGGGUGGCUGUGAGGACGUCGCUGGUGGAUCGCCUCGUGGUAAAGCACAGCCACUCAGAUGAAGAAAAGCAUGAACUGUAAACAAAGGACUGCAAGAAAUGAAUGCGCUGUGCUACAGAGGGACGUCCAGGAACGCAUUAUUCAUUGUCUGGGAGUGGUGCUUAGAUCAAUUUUCUUGCGUAGCAGUUGUACAGCGGCCACUUGUUCAAAGCAAAACUUCCGUUCUCUGAGCCAGCGAAUCUUCUCUGCUUUAAUGGCACUUACAGACAUCCUACGUGGGGCCGGUAUUCCCUGCAGACCUGUAGAAAACCCAGCACGCUCCUGACCAGCUCUUCUUCAGCUAUUCUGUGUCCUUUUCGUUACCGUGUUCAGCCUUCUGCCCUUGCUCAUAACCUAGCUGAAAUUGCACACAGCUGUGACUACAUCCGCAACUUCUCCUCUCCCCAAAGGCCCGUUCUCUCAGAGGAUGAGAUGAAUGUAUUUCUCCACUCAGCCACUCUGAAAACUCUUUUCCAAGGGAUGUGUCCUCUCUGAACUUGGCAGGGAAUGUGUUUGACA